This 456-nucleotide ribosomal RNA is filed under the name uncultured bacterium. Its description in RNAcentral is "bacterial SSU rRNA". It matches the Rfam family "Bacterial small subunit ribosomal RNA", at positions 340 to 786 of the family's 1533-position model. The record is from RNAcentral.
UACGGAAGGCAGCAGUGGGGAAUAUUGCACAAUGGGCGCAAGCCUGAUGCAGCCAUGCCGCGUGUAUGAAAAAGGCCUUCGGGUUGUAAAGUACUUUCAGUCGUGAGGAAGGUGUUAAGGUUAAUAACCUUAGCAAUUGACGUUAGCGACAGAAGAAGCACCGGCUAACUCCGUGCCAGCAGCCGCGGUAAUACGGAGGGUGCGAGCGUUAAUCGGAAUUACUGGGCGUAAAGGGCACGCAGGCGGUUAAUUAAGUUGGAUGUGAAAUCCCCGGGCUUAACCUGGGAAUGGCAUUCAAGACUGGUUAGCUAGAGUCUUGUAGAGGGGGUAGAAUUCCAUGUGUAGCGGUGAAAUGCGUAGAGAUGUGGAGGAAUACCGGUGGCGAAGGCGGCCCCUGGACAAAGACUGACGCUCAUGCGCGAAAGCGUGGGGAGCGAAAACAGGGAUUAAGAUACC